AUUGAACGCUGGCGGCAGGCUUAACACAUGCAAGUCGAGCGGGGUGAGGUGCUUCGGUACUGAUCCUAGCGGCGGACGGGUGAGUAAUGCUUAGGAAUCUGCCAUUUAGUGGGGGACAACAUUCCGAAAGGAAUGCUAAUACCGCAUACGUCCUACGGGAGAAAGCAGGGGAUCUUCGGACCUUGCGCUAAAUGAUGAGCCUAAGUCGGAUUAGCUAGUUGGUGGGGUAAAGGCCUACCAAGGCGACGAUCUGUAGCGGGUCUGAGAGGAUGAACCGCCACACUGGGACUGAGACACGGCCCAGACUCCUACGGGAGGCAGCAGUGGGGAAUAUUGGACAAUGGGCGGAAGCCUGAUCCAGCCAUGCCGCGUGUGUGAAGAAGGCCUUUCGGUUGUAAAGCACUUUAAGCGAGGAGGAGGCUACCUGGAUUAAUACUCUGGGAUAGUGGACGUUACUCGCAGAAUAAGCACCGGCUAACUCUGUGCCAGCAGCCGCCGUAA
Molecule: ribosomal RNA, 501 nt
Filed under: uncultured bacterium
Lineage: Bacteria
Description: partial 16S ribosomal RNA
Rfam family: Bacterial small subunit ribosomal RNA
Source: RNAcentral